AAUCAGUUGUAUACGAACGUUUCCGUUCGGUUUUAUAAUAAUUUCACUGGCUCGACAUGCUGGAACUACACAAUAUACGCCCCCGACCGCGCGAUGACCGCGCAUCCGUGUACCGUUUGUUUUAACCACCUGUUUGCUCGCUGCACAUAUUCCGUUUCCUAUUAUGCGUAACGUUUUAAUUAUCUAUACCGGGACCGCGUUAAAAACGUCGAACCGUAUACAAAUUAUUAUUGAUAAUAUAUUAUUUUCGUUUAUCGAAAGGAAAAAAAAAAAUGUGGCAAAAAUUAAUGAAACGAAACGAUGCGGCGGGUACGAUAUUUAUUAUAUUCGGACGGACGGCGACGUAGCUCAAAAACCCCAAUCAUCGUAAUGGUCAAAAUAUUAUUAGAAAAAAAAAAACCUUAAUAAAUACGAAUAUCAAGAGGAAAUCGUUCAAAUUCAAAUUUAUGUUUCAAUCCCCGUGUACGCCAUGAAACAUUGUUUUGUUUUACAUUAAAUAAUCAUAGGCUAGUAACGAAAUUAGUCUUAUUUCU
Molecule: non-coding RNA, 533 nt
Organism: Cinara cedri
Lineage: Eukaryota; Metazoa; Arthropoda; Insecta; Hemiptera; Aphididae
Source: the annotation of a GenBank genome assembly